UUCGAUUGUUCUUAUAUAACACGGUAUUACGGUAAAUAGUGUAUGUAAAGGCUAAAGGUCAUUGCGGUGUUUGAAUCUUUUUGUUCCUAAACGUGUUACCUAGCUAGGAGAGGCCGGUAUAUUCAGUGAUAUUUGUUUGAUACCCUGACUUUGUAACAACUUAUAUACAGGUCACAUUUCUAUGGAGUACAAUUACUCCUUUUCUAGUCAUUAUCAAGCAGUGGAAACGUCUCUCAGUAAUAAGCAGGAAUUGUAUUCCAUAGAAUUGUGACGUGUAUACAUAUUCCAGUUCAAUUACUAAAUGCUAUUGAAACAAUUUGUAACAAUUUUUAAAGUUCGUCAUCGUGUUCAUUAUACUCUAUUGUGAAAACUGAUGGGAUGCAUUUAGGAAGAGAAGAAUAUCAUCACGGUAAUUGGGUUUAUUGAUAAGAAUGUUAGAAUAUAUAAAUGAUACUAUAAACCGUCGCUACAUGAUCACCCUUGUAAUUCACAUAGUUGGUUUAAUACUCCAUAUAAUAUCUAUAUCAACAAAUUACUGGGCAGAAGGAAGUUUGGAAGGGAAUCGAGCAAACUUUGGAUUAUGGCUGGGAUGCAAGGACGUGGAUGAUGUGACCACCGUUUGUUCAAGGUCUGUGUUUGCUUCAAAGUUGCUUAACAAUGAUAAGCAGUGGCAAGAAGCAGCACAGAUACUGAUAUUGAUAGCUUUAUUAACUUUAUUGAUGAAGAUACUAUUAGUAGUAUGUCUUCUACUACUGAAAAUAGUCAGGAAUUAUAUAAAAGAACUGAUUGGUGUACAUUUUAGUUUAUUUGGAAUAUACUUUACGUGUGUUUUAUUGGUACUCCUCAUGUACAUUCAUGAGAUGGCAGAUUUUAGACUAUCGUGGUCGUUCUUUGUUGCCAUUUCCGCCCUCGUUACUCAUGGUUUGGGAUGUUUAUUACUUUUUAUAGACUUUAAUAAAUCCUGGUGGAUUUGUAAAGCUAAACCCAAGAUGCUCUUAGAGCAAAACGACAGUCAACAGAAUGUGAACCAACAGAACAGUACGAAAAGACCUAAUCGUUCGCGAUCUGUAAAUUCAGAAUUUGCGAUUCUAACCCGAGAUGCUAACGGUACAUGGUUAGUUUCUUUUUAGUGGUUGUCUCUUCCAAUGUUCGUUUGUAUGGCUCAACUGAUAUUACUAACUGAAAAAGAUUAGUGUGAUAAAUACGAAUGCUGUUGUUACUAAUUGAAUACUGAAAAUGCACAUAGCAUUGAAUUAGGAGCUAUCUUUGUACACUGUCAAAGAAAGUUUUGGGGUGUUCGAAAAAAAAUGUUUGUAAAGAUUCCAUAUAGAACAGUUUUGGGAAUUUGUAAAUUGGUCAGUGUAAUGAAAUAAAAUUGACGUAUCCGGAGCGACAGGACACCGAUAGAGAAAAAUUGAAAUUGUCACGUCUCUUACGUGACGUCUGUUGUUAGAACAUUGUAACCCAUGAUGUAGAGGAAGUUAUAGAACCUGUUUGUACGUGAUCUCACUAUUUAUAAUACAUCAGGAUUAACUAUGUUGUAACAAUUUUCAUGGUCACCGCAAAAAAUGUGUCUGUGUCAUCAAUCUAAGAAUUUCGAUGAUUUCAGUCUAUUUAAGAGGUUCAUGAUUACCCGUUUUCAACACGAUUUACACUGUAAAUUUUUUAUUCAGUGAAUAAUGCGUGAUCUAAAAACAUGAUAUAUUUAGUUAAAUACUCAACAUUCGAUUUGGAAUGAAAAUUAUAAAGAGAUUCCAAAAACGGGGGUUUAAUUACGCGAACCCACUUUCAAAACAAAUCGCGCAGAAAUUAUUACUUUCAUUAUUACUCUAGUCUGCAUCAACAAAAUUGUUCCCAGAUCAAGGUGCAUGAUUCUGUUUGCUAUUGUCUUCUGUAUACUAUAUGUGAGUAAUAUGAUGAAAUUGAUAUUGUUAUUAUUCUAUUAAAUGUAAAACAUGAACAAUAUUCUAUUGUGUUUGUAUAUGUAACAACGCGGUUCUUUGAUAGCAAAUUCACACGUACAUAUUACUUUUUUUUAAAGAAAAUAUUUGAUCAUGUAUAAAACAGGUUUUUAAGGGAUAGGGUUUCAGGCUGCUCAAAUCUGAAUAGAAACUGGUCUUAACUGGAUAAACAACUUGAAAGAAACACAUGAAAAAUCCUAAACUGUACACCCCAGGUCCAAAAAGCACCCGCUAUCCCUGGUGUCCCUGCAAGUAAACUUAAUAUAACUUAGACUUUAAUGCCAGUGGAAAGUUCAUCAUCAGGAUUUUCCCCGGCGUGGUUACCCCUUGUCAGUGGUGCAGGUGGAGGGCCUGACAAGGGACAACGUAUAGUCGUUCGAAUGGGACAAAAAACCGAGGUAACGUGUACACAUUGGCGUACAUGAAAAAGAACCCUUGACAGUUGGAAUUCGAAAUAAGAGUAGGCGGUAAAUUUCCCUCAAAGCACAUUGGCACCGUCGAAACAGAAAAAAGGACGUUAAACCCCCAUUUCAAUUAACUUCAUAUAUUGUCAGUGAGUCAUCCGUCGGUCCUUUUCUUACAAGGUUUUGAAACGUGCUACUUCCAAUCAAAUAUUAAGACUUAUCCCGGGCUAUUAGAAAUGUCUGUUAUCCAUUUUGUAAACUACACGUAUACCCUGUAAUACUAUUGUACGUCUUUGGCAAUAAAAAAACAAUUUU
Long non-coding RNA from Patella vulgata (common limpet), 2680 nucleotides. RefSeq lists it as uncharacterized. The record is from RefSeq and is a predicted model, not a curated record. The transcript is spliced from 4 exons. Lineage: Eukaryota; Metazoa; Mollusca; Gastropoda; Patellidae.